RNAcentral lists this ribosomal RNA (448 nucleotides) under uncultured bacterium. Its description in RNAcentral is "bacterial SSU rRNA". It matches the Rfam family "Bacterial small subunit ribosomal RNA", at positions 330 to 794 of the family's 1533-position model. The record is from RNAcentral.
UCCAGACUCCUACGGGAGGCAGCAGUGGGGAAUAUUGCACAAUGGGGGAAACCCUGAUGCAGCAACGCCGCGUGAGUGAGGAAGUAUUUCGGUAUGUAAAGCUCUCUCAGCAGGGAAUAGAAAAGAAGGUACCUGAAAAAGAAGCCCCGGCUAACUACGUGCCAGCAGCCGCGGUAAUACGUAGGGGGCAAGCGUUAUCCGGAUUUACUGGGUGUAAAGGGAGCGUAGACGGCAUGGCAAGUCAGAUGUGAAAGCCCGGGGCUCAACCCCGGGACUGCAUUUGAAACUGUCAGGCUGGAGUGCAGGAGAGGUAAGUGGAAUUCCUAGUGUAGCGGUGAAAUGCGUAGAUAUUAGGAGGAACACCAGUGGCGAAGGCGGCUUACUGGACUGUAACUGACGUUGAGGCUCGAAAGCGUGGGGAGCAAACAGGAUUAGAUACCCUAGUAUU